AGUUUCUCAAUGGGAAGAGUGUAGAUGUAGUAAACCGUCAUGUUCCCUCAGUCGGUGACUUUCCAGCUUUGCUUAAUCUGACUUGCUUAGGAUAAGAAAUUAGAAGCAGGUUCUGAUUUUUUGUUUGUUUCUUCUUAAUUCUGUGUGAGAUCAGAAGAUCCACAGAAGGUGGAAAAUGUCCACUGUAACAUCUGCGUUGCACUGCUGGAUUUGGAUGUCUGCCUGCCUCCUUGUGCCUGUGUCUACAUUCUCAUUAAGCGCAACAGUUCAAUCUGGAAUCAAUGUCCAUCUGUCAUGUUUUGCUUCUGUCUAUGACAAUAACAACAUCACUGCUGUACAGUGGAGCAGAAGUGACCUGGAGCCAGAAUAUGUCCUUUUGUAUCAGGAUGAGCAGUUUGUUACAGACAACCAGCAUCCAUCCUUUGUGAACCGGGUGGAUCUGGAGGACAGACAGAUGGAGGAUGGAGACGUGUCUUUGAUUCUGAAGGAUGUGACGACUGCUGAUAAUGGAACAUAUGAGUGUCGUGUCCAGUUGGCGGGAACAAACCGUGAAAAGAGAGCUGUUUUCAAGGGUAACCCCAUUUGCAGUGUAAACCUGAGUGUUGAUCCUCCAGGUCCCCCGGACAUUCACAAAAAGGAUGGAGGAUUCAGAAUUAGAGUUGUUAUACAUCCAGCUAGUUUGACAGUUUUUAUUUUGCUUGUUGUUGGUGCAAUUGUUGGCUGUGUGAGCUGCAGAAAAUAUAGACAACGGCAGAGUCAAAGUUCUUAGUCUCAGACCUUUAAACAGCUAAAGUGUGAGUCAAACACAUCCUGAAUUUGGUGAUCAGUGUCUUAACACAAGAACAUUUUCUUUAUUUGGGCAUGUCAAGAACUUGUAACAGAACUUCAUCAUGAUGAAAAAUAAGAAUAAUAAAGAUUUCUUCAUCUCAAAA
This is a long non-coding RNA of Oreochromis aureus, 932 nucleotides long. The record is from Ensembl. NCBI's taxonomy places the organism in Eukaryota, Metazoa, Chordata, Actinopteri, Cichliformes, Cichlidae.